Small nucleolar RNA from Suricata suricatta (meerkat), 125 nucleotides. Its record names the gene SNORA72. It matches the Rfam family "Small nucleolar RNA SNORA72". From Rfam's summary of the family: U72 is a member of the H/ACA class of snoRNAs. NCBI's taxonomy places the organism in Eukaryota, Metazoa, Chordata, Mammalia, Carnivora, Herpestidae. The record is from Ensembl.
CAGCAUCGGGAAACUUGUUAGAGAGGCAGUUUCCAGGCUAACCAUAGGCUAUAUUAAGACCACGCCUGUGUCCCCAGACGCCCGUUCCUUCCCUAGGUCUGGUUUCGCAAGUGCCGGGCAUGAAC